AAAGAGGAAUAAAAACCGUGAAAAGAUCUUAACAGCUGAAUACAGCAAAAAGAAAGAAAUAUUGUGCGUUUAUAAAGUAAAAGUGUGUUAAGUGCCAAUCUCAAUUGAUUGGCGGUUAGUACCGGCUUAAACUUCGGGCAAUCGUUUGGGUACCUGUCUGAACCCCAAUACGAAAGCUCGCAACAACAGUUUCCCCGAUAUUAGGGCCUCCGCCCGCGGCAAGGGACUUAUGCUCCUCGCCCAACUACAGCUCCGUACCAAAAAUUCCCAGCGCUAGGCCGAGCAGCACAAAGCGGGAGGCGUAAAAGAUCGGCUCAUCAGUCGCUUUGCGGGCGCGAGCCACUUAUGUGUCACGGACCCGCGAUAUAUUGGAGGCCGUCCAAUUCUGCGGAAAUUAUUAAAGCUAUGUAAACGGUCAACCAAUUUCUACCCGAAAUAUAGAUCUGGGUCUCGACCUAUUUUCGUUUCCCCAUACGAAGUGCCGAGGAGUGCCCAGAUGUGAAGCCGGCGGCAACGACUGUCGUUUUUUUUUAUAUCCAUCAGUGUAACCGCUGAUUCCUAUUUUUAUGCUAUAGUGUCAUUAGUGUAAUUAGCUUAGUAAAUUUCUUUUGGUUGUGUUUUUAAAUUCUGUUCGGAAGAAAUAGCAAGUGGAAUGUGUGACAGGGCGAAAGUGAACAACGGUUAAACGGCAGAGGAGAGCGUGAGCUUUUUUUUUGUAAAAGUAUUUCUCCAGCUUUCGUUUUAGGAACGUUGCCGCAGUCCAUGGAAGCGCUUUCAUCGCUUCUUCAACGCAUUUAUUAAAACAAAUCAAAGGAAGGCCGUAAGUGAUCCCAAAACAUAAAGAUAAAACAUUGGAGUUUGUUUGUUAUGAGCAACUAUUUAUUGCAUGACCAAAAAAAAAAAAAACCUCACGUAGUCAGGGGCUUCGUCGCUUAAGAGAGGCUGUGCGCUCUCCCUUAUGCCCUGCUGGCAACCAUAAGCGCUUACGCCGCGCAUAAGAACCAGCCCUCUUAAGAACAAGGCACAAAAGGGAAGAUGCGAGGCUGGUCGCUCUGACGUUCUUUUAUGCUUUCUACUUGCGGUUGCUUUCGCUAAUGCACUUGAAUAACUGACCUGCCAUAACGAUCGCGGCGCACAGUUUUUACAUUCCCUUUUGCAUA
Drosophila miranda is the source of this 1160-nucleotide long non-coding RNA. RefSeq lists it as uncharacterized. The transcript is spliced from 2 exons. The record is from RefSeq and is a predicted model, not a curated record. Lineage: Eukaryota; Metazoa; Arthropoda; Insecta; Diptera; Drosophilidae.